Molecule: ribosomal RNA, 492 nt
Filed under: uncultured bacterium
Lineage: Bacteria
Description: partial 16S ribosomal RNA
Rfam family: Bacterial small subunit ribosomal RNA
Source: RNAcentral
AGUGAACGCUGGCGGUAGGCCUAACACAUGCAAGUCGAACGGCAGCACAUUAAGAGCUUGCUCUUACGGGUGGCGAGUGGCGGACGGGUGAGGAAUACAUCGGAAUCUACUUUUUCGUGGGUGAUAACUUAGGGAAACUUACGCUAAUACCGCAUACGACCUACGGGUGAAAGCAGUUGAUCUUCGGACCUUGCGCGAUUGAAUGAGCCGAUGUCGGGUUAGAUAGUUGGCGGGGUAAAGGCCCACCAAGGCGACGAUCCGUAGCUGGUCUGAGAGAAUGAUAGGAGACACUGGAAGUGAGACACGGUCCAGACUGCUACGGGAGGCAGCAGUGGGGAAUAUUGGACAAUGGGCGCAAGCAUGAUCCAGCCAUACCGCGUGGGUGAAGAAGGCAUUCGGGUUGUAAAGCACUUUUGUUGGGAAAGAAAAGCAGCAGGUUAAUACCCAGAUGUUCUGACGGUACCCAAAGAAUAAGCACCGGCUAACUUCGUG